This 1577-nucleotide long non-coding RNA is filed under the name Mus musculus (house mouse). Its description in RNAcentral is "maternally expressed 3". The stretch from base 493 to 594 matches the Rfam family "Maternally expressed 3 conserved region 2". Lineage: Eukaryota; Metazoa; Chordata; Mammalia; Rodentia; Muridae. The record is from RNAcentral.
ACAGAAGACGAAGAGCUGGAAUAGAGCUCGCCUCGGCUCUGCUGGCCUUGGCUGCAGCUCUUCCAGAAACCCGGGGCGCCCACAGAAGAAUCUCUUACCUGGCUCUCUCUUCAGGGAUGACAUCAUCGGCUCACACCAGUCUUCCAGGACCACCUUCUGGAUGCCAAGGCUGCUGCUCGAAGCCAAGGAGCACGGAUUCCAGGAACCCACUACCAUACAGAGCAACUCCUUGUGGACCCCCCUGGGAUCAGGACAGCGAGGGACAAGCGACAAAGAGGAUCAUCAGUGGCCAGCUAGUUUCUCUGGGGUUCAAACCUUGAACCAGUGCCCUAGUGAGGGGGCACUGGCCAUGGCCCUUGACCUUUGCUCUGCUUGUGUCUUGAGUCUGAGCCCUUUCCUGUACAUCUGUGCUCGUGUUCAUCUGCUAGUGAACUGGAGUGCUGCCCUCCCCGAGGAGGGUCGUCCCUUGUGACUGAUCAUGCUGUCCUAACAAUGUCCUGAGCAAAAGGGUCCCUUUGGGAACCUCUCAGGAGGGGGACCCGGGUCAGGGGCGACCAGCAUCUUGCUGGCAACUCCGUGGGUGGGGUGGGGUGGGGUGCUUCCUUCUGGAAUGAGCACGUGGCUGACCCCCCAAGGCAUGUCCCCUCCCCCUCCUCCACCCACCUUCUCGGAGAUGUCCCUUUUGGGGUAGUGGGGACAUUAGGAGCAACCUCCUAGGGUUGUUGUGAGAAUUAAAUGAACUGCAGCAGCCUGAGGCAGGGCUGGGCAGAGACCUCAGCACAUGUUUGUUGAAAGGUUUGCAGGUGGAUCUAGUCCUCCCGUUCAUGGCUCAUGUGUCUCAACCAUUCUCUCGCAGACUCCUGCAGCCCCUAUGCCCAGGGCUCUCCUUGCGCCAGCCCCGGCUUCUCGAGGCCUGUCUACACUCGCUGCUUUCCUUCCUCACCUCCAAUUUCCCCUCCAACCCACUGCUUCCUGACUCGCUCUUCUCCAUCGAACGGCUCUCGCUCAGGCCUGUCGCGUCUUCCUGUGCCAUUUGCUGUUGUGCUCAGGUUCCACGAGCUGCCCAUCUCCACAGAAGAGCAGCUGGCAUUGCCCACCGGCCAUGCCGGCUGAAGAAAAGAAGACUGAGGACCCCAGGAUGCCCAGCGCGAGGACCCCAGGAAGCCCAGCGCGAGGACUCCACCCACGACGCCCAGCGCGAGGACUUCACGCACAACACGUUGCAACCCUCCUGGAUUAGGCCUCUACAGCCACGGGGACGCCUUGCACAUUUCCUGUGGGACAUGCUGGACCCAAGACUCUGGACCCUGGCCUCCCCUUGAGUAGAGAGACCCACCUACUGACUGAUGAACUGCGCUGACCCUGGGGUCAGGCAUGUGGCCUUGAUCCCUACCCAUGGACCCUGAGACUUGGGGGGGUGGGAGAAAGGCUGUUGUGUCUUCACUGUUGAGUCUACAUCUGUGAAAUGGGCUCAGGUUCCUACCUCACAGGGCUGUUGUGAGGCAGCCGCAAUGUGCUUAGAAGCAUGGGGCCUAGUGGCUCAUGGUGCUUUCAAUAAAUUUCUUGUUUUAACUAAA